RNAcentral lists this ribosomal RNA (638 nucleotides) under uncultured bacterium. RNAcentral describes it as "bacterial SSU rRNA". It matches the Rfam family "Bacterial small subunit ribosomal RNA", at positions 109 to 745 of the family's 1533-position model. The record is from RNAcentral.
AGUAACACGUAUCCAACCUUCCGUUUACUCAGGGAUAGCCUUUCGAAAGAAAGAUUAAUACCUGAUAGUAUGGUGAGAUUGCAUGAUAGCACCAUUAAAGAUUUAUUGGUAAACGAUGGGGAUGCGUUCCAUUAGGUAGUAGGCGGGGUAACGGCCCACCUAGCCGACGAUGGAUAGGGGUUCUGAGAGGAAGGUCCCCCACAUUGGAACUGAGACACGGUCCAAACUCCUACGGGAGGCAGCAGUGAGGAAUAUUGGUCAAUGGGCGAGAGCCUGAACCAGCCAAGUAGCGUGAAGGAUGAAGGUCCUACGGAUUGUAAACUUCUUUUAUACGGGAAUAAAGUAUCCUACGUGUAGGAUUUUGUAUGUACCGUAUGAAUAAGCAUCGGCUAACUCCGUGCCAGCAGCCGCGGUAAUACGGAGGAUGCGAGCGUUAUCCGGAUUUAUUGGGUUUAAAGGGAGCGCAGACGGGAGAUUAAGUCAGUUGUGAAAGUUUGCGGCUCAACCGUAAAAUUGCAGUUGAUACUGGUUUCCUUGAGUGCAGUUGAGGCAGGCGGAAUUCGUGGUGUGGCGGUGAAAUGCUUAGAUAUCACGAAGAACUCCGAUUGCGAAGGCAGCUCACUGGAGCGCAACUGACG